This 253-nucleotide ribosomal RNA is filed under the name uncultured bacterium. RNAcentral describes it as "partial 16S ribosomal RNA". It matches the Rfam family "Bacterial small subunit ribosomal RNA", at positions 524 to 776 of the family's 1533-position model. The record is from RNAcentral.
UACAGAGGUGGCAAGCGUUGUUCGGAAUUACUGGGCGUAAAGGGCGCGUAGGCGGCUUUUUAAGUCAGACGUGAAAUCCCCCGGCUUAACCUGGGAACUGCGUCUGAUACUGGGAAGCUUGAGUUCGGGAGAGGGAUGUAGAAUUCCAGGUGUAGCGGUGAAAUGCGUAGAUAUCUGGAGGAAUACCGGUGGCGAAGGCGGCAUCCUGGACCGAAACUGACGCUGAGGCGCGAAAGCCAGGGGAGCAAACGGG